GAUGAACGCUGGCGGCGUGCUUAACACAUGCAAGUCGAACGAUGAAGCUGGAGCUUGCUCUGGUGGAUUAGUGGCGAACGGGUGAGUAACACGUGAGCAACCUGCCCCUGACUCUGGGAUAACAGCCGGAAACGGCUGCUAAUACCGGAUAUGCACCAUGAACGCAUGUUCUGUGGUGGGAAAGAUUUUUCGGUUGGGGAUGGGCUCGCGGCCUAUCAGCUUGUUGGUGAGGUAAUGGCUCACCAAGGCGUCGACGGGUAGCCGGCCUGAGAGGGUGACCGGCCACACUGGGACUGAGACACGGCCCAGACUCCUACGGGAGGCGGCAGUGGGGAAUAUUGCACAAUGGGCGAAAGCCUGAUGCAGCAACGCCGCGUGAGGGAUGACGGCCUUCGGGUUGUAAACCUCUUUUAGCAGGGAAGAAGCGAGAGUGACGGUACCUGCAGAAAAAGCGCCGGCUAACUACGUG
This 469-nucleotide ribosomal RNA is filed under the name uncultured bacterium. RNAcentral describes it as "partial 16S ribosomal RNA". It matches the Rfam family "Bacterial small subunit ribosomal RNA", at positions 28 to 507 of the family's 1533-position model. The record is from RNAcentral.